Non-coding RNA from Picea glauca (white spruce), 121 nucleotides. Lineage: Eukaryota; Viridiplantae; Streptophyta; Pinopsida; Pinales; Pinaceae. The record is from Rfam.
ACAUGCUUACAUCAUAACAUUAAUGCACCAGAUCCCAUUAGAACUCCGUAGUUAAGCACGCUCAAGAUAGAGUAGUACUGGGAUGGGUGACUACCAGGGAAGUAUUAGUAUUUCACAUGCC